Cricetulus griseus (Chinese hamster) is the source of this 5958-nucleotide non-coding RNA. NCBI's taxonomy places the organism in Eukaryota, Metazoa, Chordata, Mammalia, Rodentia, Cricetidae. The record is from RefSeq and is a predicted model, not a curated record.
GAGUCCUCCUUGUUGCCUAACUUCUCUAGUGGUGUGGAUCUAAUUGAAACCAUUCUGAGCAAGGUAACCCAGUCAGAAAGAUUUUCAACAAAAUCAUAGAAGAAAAUUCCACCAAUCUAAAUUGCCCUGGGUAUCCAGGAUCCCAGUUUAUCUCCCAUCCUUUUUCAGGAUGAGCACAAAACCACACCCUGCAUUGACACCCCUCAGUUAGGAAAACCCCUUAACCAGAAACAGUUGGUUAUUGCUCCAGCCAAAAUGCAAGGUUAGUACAUUUAAGGACUUUCCCAGAAGUGUGAACUUUGAUGUAUUCGGUCUUUGUUUUUAUUUUGUCAAGUGGUGCUACAGUGUUUUGAGUUUUAUGGCCUGAGUGAUAUCUCCAUCAUGGUAUCAGUUCUGCUAAGGUCUGGGUGCCUGCUACCCUUGCACAGUGAAUUCUCUAUAUGUGCACAUAUAUAAAUAUAACCUGCUGAGUCUGUUUUUGUUGUUCAUAAGUGUAUUAUUUCAGGGAUAAGCACUUUGUAUUAGAUAGCCAGUUAGUGGGCUUAUCCCUGAGAGAGGCUAAUUGCACUCUCUAAGCAGUCAUUUGUUACCUGUAGUUCUUUGUCUAGGGGCAGGACCCCACGACAUUUUCCUUCUUCUGUAUUAACUUAGGUUUUGAUAUUACCAUUGUUCUGGUCUUAUUGAUGCAGCCAUUUCUAAGACAGACUGCCACACCAGACUUCCCAGUACUCUGGCUUUUCUAAUAUCUCUAUUUUUCAGAGAUAUUUCUGAGCUAUAGAUGCAGGAGGUCUGAUGUAGAUUUAUUAAUGGUGCUGAGCUCCCCACAAUCUUUUGAUUGCUGUAUUAUGACUAGUUGUGGCUUUCUGUGAUAGUCUACAUGUGCUGUAAAAAGAAGCUUCUUAGAUGAGGGGUAAUAACGUCACUUACCUGUGGGUAUAAGGAUAAGAUUAAUUUAUAUUUACCUAAAAUUACAUACAAUAUCUAUAAGACAAUAUAGCCAUAUGAUAUACAUAAAUAAUAUAUGAAUCUAAAGGAAAUUGUGCCUCUUAGGCUGACAGUGCUCCCCACAAGAACCACAGCUAACAUUACCAGGCACAGGAAAAUUCACUUUGCUUGGUCAGGGGAGUUCAGUUGACUCUCAAGACAAUAUAGACUGUUGCUGUUGCUCUUGCUGAAGACACCACCACACAGUAAACACAAGGGGCUCAGAUUAUUUGAGCUUAAUCUAACCUGAAAGCCACCUUCCUGCUUUCUAUCUUCCAUAGUACCAUGAAAUACUGUGCAAGUGGCCAUGAGAAGGGAGCAAUUGAUAGUCCUGACCAGCUGUGACAUCUGUGAACCACAACAGCAUGAUUCAGAGGGACAGAAAUAAUGGAGGGAAGAACACCUUCUAUGUGGUUUUCACUAAGAAUUUCAACCUUGAUUGAGGCCGUGAGGACUCACCCCAAAAUCCUAGAAAAUCAUCGUCAGGAAAAUAAAAGCUAUGUUCCUCUGCUGGUGCCUUGGGAUCUCUACAUGGUUUAUAAUCUAUCCUCAUCCAUCAGGAAGGACUGUGAUUAGAACUCUUGGAAAAUUUGAGAUGAGUUAAAGUUUCAAAGUAGAGAUCUUCUUACAAGGAGAUAAAAGUCCCUUCCAGUUAAGUGUGCAUUUAAAGGUUGCAAAGUCUCCAGCUUCCAUUACCAUUACAGAGGCAUUUGAUGGAGACAGAAUUACCAUCAUCUGACCCUUCCACUUCUCUGAGGAGACCUGCAGAGGAAUGAAUACCAGUGUUCUCCCUCAACUCACAAAUUCAUGCUGUGGGCAGAUUUGGCACCCAGGUUUUAUGAAGGCAAGACUGUGGCACUGACUGCAUUUGUAUAAAGCCAGUGCUUUGCUGAAGGCAGCGAGUCUGUUGGAAAAUGUUAGAAGACUAACAGCACCUAUAAUGCAUUGUCAGAGGGUUAGAGAUCAUAAGGGUGGAGACAGCCACAGCAGACAUGGCACCUGGAACUGGAAGCCGAGAGCUACCAUGUCAAACCACAAACAGGCAAUCUUUAACUGGCAAUGGUAACCAUGACUGAUGUCCAGCUGGCAUAAAAACUAACAAGUAUACCCUGGGCCAAAGAAGCAUGAUGUGUGUGUGCCUCUGAGUGAGACUGCAUUUUAUACUAUAAUGAAAAAAAAAGUUGCAAUCAUUGGAAAUAGAUUAGUUGCUCUGCUCCAGAAUGCAUGACUAAAGAGAAUAGGUACAGAGGGAAGUCAGAUAAUAGGUGACCAGGAUUCUGUCAGGAGAAAUGUGUCCCAUAGUACAGUAUGGUGAUGAUAGUUUGUAACAACUCAUCUUUAUGCAGAAGUAGAAGGAGUCCAAAGGCUCCAAACAGGAAGAAAUAAUAAGCAUCUGCAACCUCUAAUUAUCUUGAUUUGAUCAUUACAUCUUGCAGACGUGAACUAAAUUUCCAUGGUUUAUACUGUAGAGGUGUACAAUUAUUAUGUGUUGGGCAAGAAGAGAAAAUGAAAUUGCAAGUGGAAUGGCAGAUAACACUGGGGACAAAAAAAAUGGCAAAUGUCAGAUAAUAUAAUUAGAAAAGACACCUGGAGGACAACAAACAAGGAAGAUGUUUAAAACACUGAGAGAUCACCUGAAAGAAAAGAAAAAAAGAUAAAAAAAAACAAUAGAGACAAGGAAGAGAAAAUUAGGAAGGCAGCAAUCUCACAGGAGAGAUGGGGUAGAGACUGGGGAAAGGAAGGAAGGAAGCACCCCCAGUGCAAUCAGGUGCCUCAUUGUCUCUUGUUUAGCUGGGAGGUUGGAGAUGGGAAGAUGCAAGACUCUAUGGAAAUGAUCUCCAGCCCUUGGGCACAUGCUAAUUACUGCCCAUAGGGAGCCUCUGUGUUUGUUUCCUACUAAUAUAGAACAAGAUGCGAAGAUAGCAAGAGCAAUGUUCCCAGGAUCAGGGAAGUCAACCUGUAUUACUAAUGUUUGCUUGUAACUUUUUAGGUUUUUGUUGUUGUUGGGGCUUUUGUUUGUUUGCUUGUUUGUUUUUUUUUUCCAAAUGGGAUUUGAUUUUCUCCUGAACUGUUUUAAAAAAAGAUUUAAAGAAACAAAAUAUCUUCAAUGGAAUGUAAUUUUUGUAAAUAGCCAAAGACCAGAUUUUCUAUUUUUCCUUAGUCUCAGUCAGCAGGUACUGUGAACCAACUAUGCGGAGAUCCUUUAACAAGUAUUUCAGAAGACUUUCAGUUAACUUCAUAAUGCUAGAAGAUGGAAAUCUCAGAGUGCUUGAAGGACUGCAGUGAAGUUCCCAGUGCGCAGUCUCACUCAAGAGCAUCUUCGAAACACUAGUCUCAAAGAAAUCUUUGAUGUUAUGUGCCUGGAUAACCUAAGAACUGACCUGGGACCAAAGCCACAGGAGUCUAUACUGUGGAGAGGGAGUGCUUGUGGCUGCUAUCUAUGAAGUCCAACCUUACACUCAUGAACCACUAAUCUACCAAGGAAAUGGCGAAGAAAUUUAAAGAAAGACAGUGUGAAGAAGGAAGGGAAUGAUUCUCUCUGGAGGUGAUGCAUCAUCCGCCUGCUCUGCAUAAAUGAGAAGAAGCCAAGAACCAGGAUGCUGUUACUUCUUUCCACAGUGUAUGAGCUCCUAGAACAGUACCUACAGCUACCACAGAUGCCACCAUGUAUUGGAUAAGUGAGUGCCUGAAUCAAACCAUGAAUAAAGUUCAAUAAAAAAAAAUACAGCACAUGAUCCCUGACUUUCAUACCCCAUUUUGAUGGACUGCACCCUACUGAAGGUUGGAUACAUUGAUACACCUUCUUAAAAGGGAGAAGAAUGGCCAGCCUGACUCUCUCUGACAGAUCAACCAUGGCAUGUCUACUCUGAUGGAAAAUUCUUCUCCCUAAAGGCUUUGCCUCUCCUGCAGAGAAGGCUCAUGAGCAAAUGCUGUCAUCAGCAGCCAUGCAUUGGUGAAGACACACAGUGGAAGAUCCCAGGCUUUGUUCCAACUCAGAGAUUUUAGCAGAAACCCAAGAAGACUCUUUAGAAUAUUGACUAUCAACAAAAACAACAACCUUCCCCUACAUCCUGAGGCUGCCCGUGUCGUUGUGGUUUUAUUAUUUGUUCGUGGUUCUCUAUUGAAGAACAACUGAUUUGUCUCUUGUAUUUUCAAGGAUACAUCCAUGUGAAAGGGAUUUUAAAGCUACAGCAUGGGAUUUUACAUCUUUUUUUACACAGCCUGUUUCAUACCUCUUGGUUUAAAGUGAUCAAAAGAAGCCUUUCCUGUAACUGGGACAAUAGGCAUAUCAAGCUUCCUGAUGUAAAUAUUUUUCUUUUGCCUUUUAUAUACACAGAAACACUAAUUUACAAAAUUACUCAACAUUAUAAUGAAUGAAUCCAAUACUAUAUGUUACAUAUUCAAUACCAACCAUAUGAGGAACAUUAAUAUUUGUGUUUUUAAAUGCAUAAAACAAUAAGCUGUGGCAAUAACCCUAUUUUCUGCCUGAGAAUCCCAAAAUUAAGAUAAUGUUUGUAUUUGACCAUGUAGUGAAUUCUCCAUGAAAAUGGCAGCAAUUAGAACAGUAAAACUAUUGAACAUGAGUGAAUGAUGCACCCAGGGAAAUUGUUUUGAGGCUGUGGUAAUUUAUGCAUACCAAUUCCUUUUCAGUAAUUAAGGAAGGGUUUAGGAGAAAGGAAAUUUUGUAGACCAAAUAUAAGAAUCAGGAAGACAGGUACCAUGAAACUAUUGAUAUGCUGCCAUCAGUCUGAGUAGCUGUUUAACUAAAGGGCGAUUAUUUUAAAGUUGUUAGUAUAUACCUUAAUUUAGUAUCAUUUUUUGAUACUAAAACAUAUAAAUGCUUAUUCAUUAACCUUUUAAGAUGUGGCCAAGAACACGGGUUCCACUGCUGAAUCAAACACCUCUUUCUGCUUUCUGCUUUGUGUGUGUAUGAUGCAUUUAUAUGUAUUAGUGUACACAUGUGAGUAUAUACAUGUGUACAUACACAUGUAUGUGUGUGUAGGCCAGAAGUCAGAGUCAGUUGCCUUUCUUUGUGAAUCUAUGGCCCAUUUAUUUUUUGAGGCAGGAUCUCUCACUGAACCUGUGACAGAUUGACUUGGCAUUACAAGCUAGCUGGCCAGCUCCAGUUUUCCACCAGUUUCUGCCUCCUCGGCACUACAAGAUCAUGGGGGCCCACUAGGCCCACCUUUUUACCUGGCACUGGGUAUCCAAACUUAGGUCCUCAUUCUUACCGAGAAAAUAUUUUACUGAUUACCCUAUCUCCUUAGUUCCUUCCAUUCUCUUCCUUGUACAAGCGAUAUUAUAACACGUUAUUUACAUUUCCAGUUGGAAUCUCACUUGAGUGAAAACACUAAUGAAGGAAUCUGGAAACAUAAGUGUUUGAACUUCUUACAAUAUUUUGUCAUCAUCUUGAAUAUAAUUUAAAACAUUUUAAAUUGACUCUAUAAAAUGUUCAAAACAAAUAACUGCUUUCUCAGUCACAUCUCAUUUCUUUAUAUAAUGCUCACUUAGAUAACUAUAGUGACAAGUACAACUGGAUUUCACAGAUAAGGAAACUGAUUUUUCAGGCAAAACGAGUCAGUGCUAGAAAGACAAAUACAGCAUGUUUUCUUUCAUAUAUAGUAUCUAGAUUUAACAACAACAGAAAGGCACAGAAGUAGAUUGUUUAAAAAGAGGAAGGGACAAGCAAGAUAGGAAAUGGACGGUAAUGAAGUAGGGGAGGAUAACUAUAACUAAGGUACUUUACAUACACAUGUAUGGAAAUAUCGUAAUAGCACUCAUUAUUUAGUAAGAUUAAUAUAUCCUAAUGAGAAUGAAUGGACUAAAAGUGGGAUGGGAAUAAGAUGUCUGACCUUAUUGGCUGUGUGGGACUCAAACAUAAACAGUUAGCAGAGAAAUGUUUGCUUGUGUAUGUACACAUACUAGGGAAUGCAACCAUGAGAGCAUAACAAUUAUGAAAGGGUGUACACCUUG